This 7907-nucleotide long non-coding RNA is filed under the name Triticum aestivum (bread wheat). Its description in RNAcentral is "long non-coding RNA (TAES_LNC005907)". The record is from RNAcentral. Lineage: Eukaryota; Viridiplantae; Streptophyta; Magnoliopsida; Poales; Poaceae.
UCCUGCACUCCUCUAGGAUCUCCCCAGUACUAGCCCGACCUUGAGCAGCUCUCCUCGACCCCCAUCGCCGCUAUGGCCGCCGCAGCCAUCCUCUAAAAUUCGGCCAAGUCGAGCUCCCUCUCCUCCUUCUACCACCACCAGCGCUCCACCCAGUCCUCGAAGAUCCUCCCCAUCUACUCCGUCCGUCGUCGGACUCACCGUAGCCCCAAUCCCAUCCACGCCCGAAGCUCUCCUCCCCCAGCGUCGAAACCUCCAUCAACUCGGUCCACUACGGCGACCAUGGAUGGGACCAGUCGAUGCGUCGCUCGACGCUGAGUAGUUCUGUAGGCGGAGCAUCGCCGAAGGUGCCCUGUAGCAUCGGCAGGCCUUGUCGGGGCAGGCUCGGCUCCGGCCAGGCGUGGGCGAGAGGAAGGAGAAGGCGCCGCCAUCGCCAGCUGGCCGUGGGCCCCUCGACCCCACCCGUCAAUCCCUCUGGCCGUUGACUCCGCGUCGUUGACGUGGAUAAGUGAAAACGCCCUUUUCUGGUUUACGUCUUCUGUAGACGAAAGCGUAUUCCUCUGCGGCUUAUAACUAGAGUAUGUUUUCUCUGCAGGAAAGCGUAUUUCGUAGAAGGUGCUUUCUCUUUUUCCAUCCGACGGCCGAAGCCUCUAUUUUGUGAACGUUCGUCUGUUUAGGGCAGAAAUGAAUAAGUUUUUAUUUGUUUUCUAUCUAACGAACGAACGGCCUUAUCUUUUUAUCCGUAACUCCGAUCGAGGUGAACCCAACGCCCACAUCUUUGUCUCGUCGAGCCCGUUCUGUUCCCCCCAUUUUCACUAUGUUUCGACAUUCUGAAAAUGACCAUUUUGCCCUUGCCCCAAUCAGCCCCCUUCAAGAGAGUACCCUUUCCGGCGAUUCCUUCCGCGGUGAUUCCGCACUUCUUCCCGGAGCCUUCUUCAUCCCCAGGCAAGCCACAACCACCAUUUGCAUGAUAGCCAUGCAGAAGCAUUGGUUUCCAACUUGAAUCUUUAAUAACUGUUUGAUUGUUUUGCUUCUGUUGUCGGUAUUUCAGUUAUGCUUAGGAAUCAGUGUUUACCGUCAUGCUAUGUUUUCUUGCACUCUGUUAUUAUGUUGUUCAUGCUAGUAUUACUUUAAUAUUGGCCAUGCUUGGUAAUAGUACAUGUUGGUGAUGGUCUUCGGUGCAUGACUGUCGUCUGUUCCGAGUACUGCCGUUAUGCAUGUUUCUUCGCAUCCAGUUGAUUAAAUGCUUGCAUGGUAGUUUUAUCGUGAUGUUAUUGCAUGGUAGGUAUUUUGAUGCUAGUGUCAUGUCAUGCUAUGAGCAGUGUGCUAGUUGUGAUAAUUAUGCUCUUCAGUAUGCCAUGCUCAUCUGGAUAAAUGGUGAAAUGUUGUUGUUAUGCUCGCUGAUUAUGAUGCAUCACCAUGCUUAUGUUGAUAUCAUGUUCAUGCAUUAUAUUUGCAUCAUGUUAUUUUAUCAUGGCUCAGCAUAUUGCAUUCAAGUUUAACUGGAUUAAAUUGACCUUGAACAACUGUUGGCUGAGUCAUGGUGCCACCAUAUCGAUCUGACCAGUGCAACCACAUUUACCUUAUGGGAAGGCCCUAACUGGGUCUAUUGUCAUGCCUCUCACCGGUGCCUCCCGCGAGGGAAGGUUAUGCGCGGGCGCUACCCUAAUCAAGCAGGACGGCAUAAGCCUUGUGUGCCCGUUGUUGAGUAUGGAUCCUUGUCCCCGUUUGGGACCGUUUUGCCACGACGGUGGCCGUUGGUGCCUUUGGUAGGCACGGGGCCACCCAGGACUUAGCCCAAAGGGGAGUUGGUCGGAGUGGCCGGGACAGUGUCAUGGCAGUAGGACGGUUUUGUUGGAACGCUUUGGUCCACCCGAAUGGGAGUACGAGGCCAGGGUUCCGUGGUGUGGGUACAGUGUGCUAACCUCUGCAGAGUGUGUGUGUUAAAUCUAUCGAUAGCCGCGCCCGCAGAUAUGGGCCCAGUUCGUAGUUGGCCACACUAUGGGUCAAUAGUAAUAAUAAUAAUUUGCUUAAUAACAACCCCGGUUCGAUGAUGAAAGAAGUUGGUUGAUAUUUAUGUGAUCGAGAGAGGAUCACUGCAGUAUCGUGAAUACCAACUUGUUGGAUAUUUGGGAUGUUAUGCGAAAAUCAAUGGUAACGGUCAAGCUCCUUGUGAUCAUAAAUGAUUGCUACGGUAUUGUUAAUACCAAGCUUGAUUGGAUCCUUAGAUGAUCGUUUGAUAUCCGUGAUGGUAAGUGAUACAGGUGAUGGUUACGAGGUAACCGAGUAGAGUAAGUUGGUGCAUGAUAGUUUCAUCAUGUUGCAUGCUAGUCUCAUCAUGUUCAUAUGUUUAUGCCAUGCUCGUAUUGUUCUAGCUGUAUCAUGUUGUUCAUGCUAUGUUGUUCUGAUAGUAUAGUGUUCCUCAUUGCUUAAUAAUCUGUAAUUGCCAUGCUAUUGUUUGUCUUGAUUGUUUGGUUGCUGUGAGCUUGCAAGUACAUUCAAUGUACUGACCUGGCGUGUCAUGCCAGUUUGCAGGUCAUGCCAGAUUUGAUUGCUUGUUUGCGGUGGAUUCUUUGUUUGCGAGCUAGGAUAAGCGUUCCAGCCAGAGUCCCUGCGGAGUGGAGUUCACCACCGUCGUCGCUGUUCCGCUUCCAAUAGUCAUUCCGCUGCGUCGUGUUGUUCUGCUGCUUGCAUGGAGCAACCGUAGCAGGCGUAGUGUCAUUGUGCCGAUGUAACCCCCUUGUACCCAUAUAGAUUGCAAUAAAGAGCUGGUUUGUUCUAUUCUAAGAAGUGUCGUAUUCCAGAAGACUUCUCCUUGAUCUCGGGGCUGGAUACGGGGCGUUUCGGUUUCUCUUAGCCGGGGUGCGACAUGCUUGGUAUCAGAACAGGUCUGGCUGUAGGACUCCCUAGCCCGCGUGAAAGUUAGAAAAUGAUAGAAUAGACCCCGGUUGAUUUGUUGCACUUGAUUGCUGCAUCUGUUUGUUGCAUAACAUGCAUAUAGAUUAUUAUCUUGUCGCUAAAGGUUUAUCUUGUGAGUGUAGGUGGCAUCGAUUUCGAUCCACUACCUGCACCCUCUUUCUUAGCAUGCCUGCUCUCUUCGGUGUUUGGCGUCAUCUCUGUCCCAGCAGAGUGAUGCCCUGGUACCAAGUGUUCCAGACACCAUUUGCAGGAGUUAUGCUUAGGUAUUGCGUCGGUAUCUUUUCCUCCACCCAAAUCAUUUCAGUGAUAGGCUUGUCUCUAUCCCGAAUCGUGCCCUCUAUCUCGUUCCUUUGGCAACCCUUACUGAUCUUUGUUAUCAGAAAAGGGCAAUGCCAUCAAGCCUUGCUUUUCCUCCCCUAGCUUGCCUUGUCAUUUCAUUCUUUGGACGUGUACGAUUCCCAUUCGUAUGCUUGAUGAUGAGGUAGUCGUGACCUCUGUGUCUCGCUACUUGAUCACCAAGUCGGUCAUCGCCUCCGUGUCCAUCCAGAUCCAGCCGGUGUUCAGCCAGCGCUUAGUGUAGCCUUGGUUACGCCAACUCUUUCCACACACAGACUCAAUUUCAUGCACACCGCCACAGCAUAUUAGACCGUAGUACCAGAGCUUUAGCAACAAUUGUGUGCUUAGGUGUGCAUGCAUAUUAUUGUGUGAGUACCAGUAAUAUGUGAUAAUUGCUUUAUAUUAUUAUGUGUGUGCUUGUGUGCUUUUGUUUUCGUCGUUUCUUUUGUUGCUUUCUUUGGGCCUUCGGUGUUACAAAUUUUCCCCUUAUUAAAGUUGCUCGUCAACCGACAUCGGACCCGAAGAAUCAGCAAGGAAUUCAAAUAUUUGGAAGCUUUGCUAAACAGAAUGGAAUUAUCAGCAGACUGCAGUGAAAUUAGAAUAUCUUGACUGAAUGCGAAAGAAAUCCUGGAUGGACUGUCAGUGUUAAGUUUGCAUCAGUAUGGAAUUUUUAGCCGACUACAUUGGGAUCUGGGGAUAUCUGAUCAUGAUACGGAUAAUCAAGUUUGCCUCAGUGUGCACAUUUCAUAGCAGAAAUGAUCAGAUCAGCAAAAAGAUAAGCUAUGUGCAAGACCAAUAGUGCAAUUUCAGUCAAAAGUAUGGUUCAGAUACAAGGUUUGGUUCUUCGUGGAGGAUGAGUUUGAAACAUGAUAUGCCUAGAAGAAAGCAAGGAUGUGCCACAUACUCAGAAAGGAGGAUGGCCCAGCAAUUCCUGUUUCAGCAUGAAGCCCAGUCUUCCUCGGCAAGAUACUCUCCACGGUUUUCACCAUAAGCCAUCCAACCGUCCUUAGUACAGCACUGGUACAAGAUAGUACAUUGUGAAUUCAGAGCAGAUGGCAGAAUCAGAUUCACAACAGUUGGUCCAAAGCAAGAAUCAGUUAGAACACAAGUCUGCCUCGGGAAUUAGAUUCUCAGAUGUAUGUGAAGGAAGCCAGAUAUACACCUCAGUGUGACAAAGGACUAUGAGGAUUGACGACAACACUAAGCUCUGUACAAGUACUGAUGAACCUAGAAGAUGAUCCUGAUGAGCCCUUGUCUCCUUUUCUUCAGUGCCGGCGCCAUGCCUGUAUUCUGAGCUGUUUUUAGCUAUCCGGGGUGGAUGCCAAUUUUUAUUUCUCUCUCCAACGACUGUCCCGAGUUCUGAGCUGCUUUACGACCAUCUCGUACAGCUGUUGAGUUUCUUUUUGUGACAGUAGGCCUAUAGCUGCUUUUGGAUAUCUUAGGGAGUUGCCACUUUCUUCUUAUCGACUCAAUCUCAUGCACUGAGCUACUUUUCGGCCGUCCUGAGCCAUGGUUGAGUUAUCUCAGUAAUGUCCCAGAUCUGAGUCGUAAAGGCCGUUCUGGUGGCUACUGAUUUAUUAGCCGAUUUCUUGCAAGGGUUCGGAUGAUCAUUUUCCUACGGUCAGAACUUGAAAGGUGUUGAACCUACCAUUUAAUGGAUUACCAUGUCAGAAGAUGCGGAUAAGAGUACAGCUGUCAGAAUAUUACACCUGACAGAACCGAUUGUCACACAGAGAAACAAUAUGACCCAGCUCUUUCAACCAAGGAUCCAGAGAAGACAAGCAGUAAUGAAGGAGCAAGACUGAAAAUUGUUGCAAGACCCACAUGGUGCAGAUAACCGGAUAGUCUGAGUCAGUAUGGAUCACCAUGGAUAUUCACCUAAAGGAUCUGCUCGGUUUUGGAUGGUGAAUAAUAGUCAGGAAGCAUGUGCCCUCACUUAUGUGAAGCCUCAACGGAUAGCCUGUCAUGGACAAAAUUCUUUCACGAGAUUCACUGUCAGUCAAGUCUGCGGAUACUAUCAUAUAAGGCCAUACCCCUUAUGCUGGCAAUGACAAGCGACAAUCAAAUAUUUGGUAUGAAGCUGAGACUCAAGACAGUGGAGCCAGUCAACAUGAUUCAGAAAUUCCUGCGAUAAGCCAGAAUCUGUCAGGGAAGCGGUUAUGCCUCAACUCACUGUUUGGAAUCCAAAGGACCUAGAUUUAGUGGAGGAACCCAAUGCAAGGAGUCAGAGCUUGGGUGUUCAACAGGAAAAAUCUGAUCACCAAUUCAUAGACAGUUUUCAGUACAUAGACAACAAUUGGAAAUCACUCUCAGAUUUGUGAGACAGGCAUAUAUUUCAGACAUGGUAAAUCUCAGCUAAGUCAGCAGAUAUGAAGAUAAUUGGAGCAAGUAUAAACAUGCACAAGCCAGGAAGGAUCUAUCAGAAUAGGGAUACAGUGAACCAGACCACCCAGAGCCAGUCGGGUAAAAUUUAGUGGGAACAACAAUAAAGGAAAAAGGAUACUCGAGUUGGAAACAGUUUCCUUAAGGUCAGAUAUAUUCAGACUUGUUCCCUAAGAAACCAAAUCUCGAGGACGAGAUUUCUUUAAGGGGGUAAGGUUUGUUCUAGCCUGAUUUUUGUCCCUUUCCUUUUCUUUUGUUUUUCUGAGGUUUUUGCCUGAGUUUUCUUUUUCCGUGGCUUUGUGGUCUGGAAACUGAAGAAGAUGCCCUCUUCUUUUCUUCCAGAGUGGCUUGUCAUCCUCAAGUCCUUCCCUAGAUCAUAUCAUUUCCAUCCUAGCCCAAUCCAAAAAUUCUUUUGCUAGGGAAUAUUCCUUUUCUAUUAAAGGAAUAACUCAAUUUGCCCUAGGUUGUGAAGCAACCUAUAUUUCCAUCACUCCUAAAAUUCCCAAAUAUUUCUCAUAAAUUUUUUGGGUCAUAUCUUCCUCAAAUAUGGCAAAAUAUUUCAUUUGCCAUGUUUAUGAUCAUCCUCAAAUAAUUCAUUUCCUAUUCUGCCCUAAAUGGCACAUUGUGAAGCAAGUGCUAUUUUCCUUUGCCCAAUUGACCUCAAACUCCUUGGACAUCGUAUCUUGUCCAUAUCAUUGCCACAUGCCAAAAUGCAACCUCAUUUCCCUAGUAGUAAUUUAAUUAUUGUUUUCCAAAGUUUCUGUCCAGAAAGAAACUUUGUGAAGGAGGUACAAGCUAGGCAUAUCCAAAUGAGUUGCAAUUUUGCAUGGUCCUUCAUAUCAUCAAAUCAUAGCCCUGCACAAAAGUUGAGAUCAUGUAAUGACUCCAUGUGAGCACAGCUUCAAAUCUUUGAUUUUGUCCAAAAUUUCAGUUUGUGAAGGAAGUAUAUUUUAUCUUGCUCCAUUAUGGCUGCAAAUUUUUCUAGGCCUUCUCUUAUCCAUAUAACCUAUCUCCACCCAAUUUGGGCAUAUUCUAUCUAGCCAACUUCCCUCUACACUUUUUGCAAGUUUCUGGUCACUUGAAAUGUUUGCGAAGGAAGUACCAUUUUGGUUUAUCCAAAUGGUGUGAGACCUUUACAGUAUCUUCAUAUGACCAGAUUAUCCAGCCUUGACCAUUUUCAGCUCAAGUGGUUACUCCUCGUGAGUGCCACUUCAUCAUCUCUAUUCUGGACUAGUUUAUGCAUUUGCAAAGGAAGUGUAUUAAUUCUUGAUCCAAAUCACCUCAACUUUUCCAGAACCAUGGUCCUUCCUAAUCUAAACCUCCCAGACAACUCCAUUGACCCCAAUCAGCUCACUAUUGAUCAACAGUACUCAGCGAAAACUGAGCAAACUUUAGACGAUCCCUCAUUCACCUAAUUGGCUCCUUCUCGUUAUAUUUAACUUCUGGGAUGCCUUGGGGAUCAAGGACUAGCCACCAGACAAGUUUUGCCAGCUCAUCGUGACCUCCCUCUGCCAUGCCGCGUGGUGACCCGUGUGGAUUUUUCCCCAUGCACGCGCUCUGGCUGCAGAACUCGCGCUCUAGCGCCUCUGUCUUCUUCCCCUCGUUGUGCAGUUGUCCCCUCGUCGCCUACCCUUGUCUAGCAGGUUCCCCAAGCCGUCGCCGUCCCUCUGGAGCGUUUGGCCCCUCCAUCUUCUUCCCCGGUGAGCCGUCCCCGUCACUGAACAGUGAGUGUCAACGAGCGCACAGUGCCGACAAGGCAUUAAUGGCGCAUUGGCUGCUUCUUCCUCGUGCCCCUCGACCUCAUCUACCGUGUGAGCUUCUCCCUGUUGCUCCUCGUUGCCAUCCGUCAAGCUCGCUGGCGUGCACACGCGUACGCCGACGUGCCUGAGCCGUGGACACGCGUCCAUGGCCACGGCCUCGACGCCGUGGCUAUUUAAGCCCUCCCCCGAGCCAUUCUAGCACAUCAGUUAGUCUCCCACACUCCUCUCGGCUCUCCUCACCACUAGCCCGAUCUCGAGCAGCUCUCCUCAACCCACAUCGCCGAUAUGGCCGCCGCGUCCAUCCUCUCAAAUUUGGCCAAGUCGAGAUCCCUCUCCUCCUUCUACCACCACCAGCGCUCCCCCCAUUCCUCGAAGAUCCUCCCCAUCUACUCCGUCCGUCGCUGGACUCACCGUAGCCCCCACCCCAUCCACGCCUGAAGCUCUCGUCCGCCAGCGUCGAAACCUCCGUCAACUCGGUCCACUACGGCGACCAUGGAUGGGACCAGUCGAUGC